This 325-nucleotide ribosomal RNA is filed under the name uncultured eukaryote. Its description in RNAcentral is "partial 18S ribosomal RNA". It matches the Rfam family "Eukaryotic small subunit ribosomal RNA", at positions 1470 to 1796 of the family's 1831-position model. The record is from RNAcentral.
CCCUUAGACGUUCUGGGCCGCACGCGCGCUACACUGACCAGUGCAACAAGCAUCCGUCCUUGGCCGACAGGCUCGGGCAAUCUUUGAACGCUGGUCGUGAUGGGGAUAGACUUUUGCAAUUUUUGGUCUUCAACGAGGAAUUCCUAGUAAACGCAAGUCAUCAACUUGCAUUGAUUACGUCCCUGCCCUUUGUACACACCGCCCGUCGCACCUACCGAUUGAGUGAUCCGGUGAAUAAUUCGGACUGCAGCACUGCUUGGUCUCCAGGCUUUGCAGCGGAAAGUUUAGUGAACCUUAUCACUUAGAGGAAGGAGAAGUCGUAACA